Molecule: ribosomal RNA, 768 nt
Filed under: uncultured organism
Description: bacterial SSU rRNA
Rfam family: Bacterial small subunit ribosomal RNA
Source: RNAcentral
GCUCAGGAUGAACGCUGGCGGCGUGCCUAACACAUGCAAGUCGAGCGAUGAGGCUCCCUUCGGGGGGUACAUCAGCGGCGAACGGGUGAGUAACACGUGGGUGACCUUCCCCAAAGACGGGGAUAACUCUUGGAAACAGGGGCUAAUACCCGAUGUGCUCAGCAGUUCACUCUGUUGAGUAAAGCUAUGGCGCUUUGGGAUGGGCCCGCGGCCCAUCAGCUAGUUGGUAGGGUAAAGGCCUACCAAGGCUAAGACGGGUAGGGGGCGUGAGAGCGCGAUCCCCCACACUGGCACUGAGACACGGGCCAGACUCCUACGGGAGGCAGCAGUGAGGAAUAUUGCGCAAUGGACGAAAGUCUGACGCAGCGACGCCGCGUGGGCGAUGAAGGCCUUCGGGUCGUAAAGCCCUUUUCUGGGGGAAGAGAAAGGACGGUACCCCAGGAAUAAGCCCCGGCUAACUACGUGCCAGCAGCCGCGGUAAAACGUAGGGGGCAAGCGUUAUCCGGAUUUACUGGGCGUAAAGAGCGUUGAGGCGGUUUUGUAAGUUGGGCGUGAAAGCCCUGGGCUUAACUCAGGGAAGCCGUUCAAUACUGCGAAACUUGAGGGCAGCAGAGGGAGGUGGAAUUCCCGGAGUAGCGGUGAAAUGCGUAGAUAUCGGGAGGAACACCAGUGGCGAAGGCGGACUCCUGGGCUGCUCCUGACGCUGAAGGCGAAAGCUAGGGGAAGCCGAACGGGAUUAGAAAGCCCGGUAGUCCUAGCCGUAAACGA